CAUCUCAUGGUGUAGUGGCUAGCACUCUGGAUUCUGAACCAAACGGUCCGAGUUCCAGUCUCGGUGAGACAU
This 72-nucleotide transfer RNA is filed under the name Trichobilharzia regenti. It matches the Rfam family "tRNA". From Rfam's summary of the family: Transfer RNA (tRNA) molecules are approximately 80 nucleotides in length. Their secondary structure includes four short double-helical elements and three loops (D, anti-codon, and T loops). Further hydrogen bonds mediate the characteristic L-shaped molecular structure. tRNAs have two regions of fundamental functional importance: the anti-codon, which is responsible for specific mRNA codon recognition, and the 3' end, to which the tRNAs corresponding amino acid is attached (by aminoacyl-tRNA synthetases). tRNAs cope with the degeneracy of the genetic code in two manners: having more than one tRNA (with a specific anti-codon) for a particular amino acid; and 'wobble' base-pairing, i.e. permitting non-standard base-pairing at the 3rd anti-codon position. The record is from Rfam by way of RNAcentral. Lineage: Eukaryota; Metazoa; Platyhelminthes; Trematoda; Strigeidida; Schistosomatidae.